CCUACGGGGGGCUGCAGUGGGGAAUAUUGCGCAAUGGGGGAAACCCUGACGCAGCGACGCCGCGUGAGCGAAGAAGGCCUUAGGGUUGUAAAGCUCUGUUUUAGGGGACGAAUGUUCAUUCCAGUAAUAUGGGAGUGAAAUGACGGUACCCUAAGAGGAAGCCCCGGCUAACUACGUGCCAGCAGCCGCGGUAAGACGUAGGGGGCGAGCGUUGUCCGGAAUUACUGGGCGUAAAGAGCACGUAGGCGGGAACUUAAGUCAGGUGUGAAAGACCGUGGCUCAACCACGGGGUGGCAUUUGAAACUGGGUUUCUUGAGGGCAGGAGAGGAAAGCAGAAUUCCUGGUGUAGCGGUGAAAUGCGUAGAAAUCAGGAGGAAUACCAGUGGCGAAGGCGGCUUUCUGGACUGACCCUGACGCUGAGGUGCGAAAGCGUGGGUAGCAAACAGGAUUAGAUACCCCGGUAGUC
Molecule: ribosomal RNA, 466 nt
Filed under: uncultured Syntrophomonas sp.
Lineage: Bacteria; Bacillati; Bacillota; Clostridia; Eubacteriales; Syntrophomonadaceae
Description: bacterial SSU rRNA
Rfam family: Bacterial small subunit ribosomal RNA
Source: RNAcentral